CCACUUGCAAGCGCCCCCCACACCCCCUAUUUAACAAAUGUCUUUCGGGACUAUGGACAUAAACGCGCUCGUAAUACGCGGAUCGGACCCGGGGGCGGUACCCGGCGUCUCCACCAAAAACUGCUCAUUUGGCAGCCAUGGGGACGAAACAGGAUCGACGAACGUCUAAAGGGGUUUUGCUUUGUCUCGGUGAGUUACCACCGUUAUCGGUACAAAAAAGCUAGUUGCAAAUGACAACAAAGCACCAAUGGCGAUGGCUGCGUAAGCAGUCGGAACUAUUGAAACCUUAAGCCCUAUGGUUUUGCGACCAUAGGCGGGGUCCGCAGGUACCUGGCAACAGAAACCUGCACC
RNAcentral lists this transfer-messenger RNA (351 nucleotides) under Yoonia sp. It matches the Rfam family "Alphaproteobacteria transfer-messenger RNA". Rfam says of the family: Bacterial tmRNA, also known as 10Sa RNA or SsrA, is named for its dual tRNA and mRNA-like properties. Its role is to liberate the mRNA from a stalled ribosome. The record is from RNAcentral. Lineage: Bacteria; Pseudomonadati; Pseudomonadota; Alphaproteobacteria; Rhodobacterales; Paracoccaceae.